Molecule: long non-coding RNA, 1001 nt
Organism: Clarias gariepinus (North African catfish)
Lineage: Eukaryota; Metazoa; Chordata; Actinopteri; Siluriformes; Clariidae
Exons: 3
Source: RefSeq, a predicted model, not a curated record
AGUCCUAAGCCACGGUAAGAAUAAGGGACAAUAGUGCACCUUGGCGAGUGUUCUCCAGCCGUGUCUUUUUACUUUCUAUUCCUUCUCUUUUAGCCUUUCACUAAUAAACUAAGCAGGAAGGAAGGAAACGUGUCUAGAGCAAGGACCUGGAGUUAUAUUUUUCCGCUUUAUAAAUAGGUUUAAAAUAAAUGGGCUUUAUGAUAAAACUGUUACUGCGUGGCACAACCUAAUUUGCCAGCUUUACUGUAAACACUGAGAAAACAAUGAGAGAUAAAUGAAGCUUGACGGGGAGGGACUCUGGAAUGACAGAAGCUGGAAUCAUCUCUGAAAGAAGGAAAACUUUGCUUUCUGUGAUUUAUUGGUGCUGUUUUUGGCUGUAGUCGGCAGGGCAUGGAGCAAGGCUUUGUCCGACACGGCGGCAGCCAUCCAUGUCGGCCAGGAAAUGGGUCCAGGAAGGAAUCCUAAUGUUUUGACUGCACGCUGUAUCUUCAUAACCUUGAGAUUCAUUGGGUGUUUCCCUGCCUGACUCAUUAUGUCCGGGUGGUCUCAUACACACAAUCCUUUCCCAUUAAAUAGAUCAGACCAACACAACUGAAACCAGUAUGAUGACUUACAAACAGCUCUACAGUGCACUACAAGUGUCUAUGGAUUCCUACAGAGAGACCCGAGAUAAAUGGGAAGUGCUUUAGGUGCAGUAUAUACAGUACUGCCAUUUUCAGAAGGGUCACAUUAUUGGGCUGCAUCAACAAAAGGAGAUUUGAACUUCCUGGAACUGGGUUAAGAAACUUAUGAUUACUACAUUAUCAAAACCUGGAAGGACAGAGCUGAACUGUAAACUUUGUGGAAGAGCAUUUAGAUUUAGGCAUUUGGCAGACACCCUUAUCCAGAGCGACUUAUAUUUUUAUCUCAUUAUACGUCUAAAGCAGUUGAGGGCCUUGCUCAAGGGCCCAACAGUGGUAACUUGGUGGUCGUGGGGCUUGAACCUGGGACCUUCCGAAAUA